RNAcentral lists this long non-coding RNA (30687 nucleotides) under Marmota monax (woodchuck). Lineage: Eukaryota; Metazoa; Chordata; Mammalia; Rodentia; Sciuridae. The record is from RNAcentral.
UCAAACUACAAUAUCUUUGUCUCUCUGCAGGUUCAUCUGUCUGAGCACAUGAAUCAUGCUCUCACCCUUCACCUUACCUUGCCAGAGCAAUAUGAAUUUAAUGGCGUCCAGAUGUCUUGGACAGAUUUGCCUCCAUCACUGUACCUUACACUAACAGUAAAGAUAAGGCCUUGAUAGUUCUUUUUAUUUCUUAAACUCAAAGUUGAUUAAUCCAUAAGGGCAAAGUGUUUCCAAAACAUAUAUUAAGAAAAUAGAUGGAUGUUACAUUUCAAUCAAAUGGGCAAUCCCAGGAGAAUUUUAGGAAGGUUUUGGAGAUUGGGGAACUGAGAAAAUAAUAUAUAUUUAUCAAUAGAACUUUUGUAGCUUACCUACAAGACAUUUCAAAUAUUUGCCCUCAAAACAAGAAUGAUUGCCUAGCACAUCUUGUUCUGAUUCAUAAAUGUGAGUUUUGGGAGGUGAAGACUCACAUGAGAUAGGACUCUACCUAGGGUUCCCCAGAUGGCAAGGUGCUAUCACCUGCAGUAAAUUCUAAUUCCAUAGCAAUGGUCAUCUCUCCUUAGGGUUUAUCCUCCUGGGGUGCACAAAGGUCUCCUCUGGUCUGCCUGAAGGGCUUCUCUAAAGAGAAGAUGGAGUGGUCCCCAAAGAGUGAGGCCCUGUCAGGGAGAUUCUGCAUCCCAAACAUGACAGAGAUGGUUUACAAGAGUCUCCUGGAAGACAUUUUCUUUGUCUUUCAGGAAGAUUAAGCUUCAUCCUCCCUGUGGCUAAGCAUGAUCUGGUGCCUAAGUGCUGGACAGUGAGAUGUAAACAGAAAUGGUGGUCAGCUUCUGAGCACCUUUCCUGAGGGACAGCCAUCGAUGUCUUUGAGUCCUCUCCUCCUUUGUUUCUUCCCCACUUUAUAGACUAGAAGUUGGACUACACUAGAGAUGGUGGAGACGGACACUCAAGCUGGAUCCUCAAGGACUUUCUGAAACUGCCAUCACAGCUCUGCAUUUGCUAUAAACCUUGAUUUCUUUUAGGUAAGAGAGAAAUAUAUUUUUCAUCUUUGGAAGCAGUUUCUUGAUCCAUGUCAGUAGGUGACCAAGUUCUCCCGGGUAUCCUUCAGGACCAGCUACUCUUCGUAGCUGUUAAUUCAUAAUGAUGAAUAACAUGUGAGCAACUUCUUAAGAUUCUUUUUUCUCCUUAUUUCUAAGACAAGUUAAGUGAACUUCAUAGAAUUCAAAAUGGGUUCUGCCCUUUGAAAUAGUAUAAAGGGAGAGUUAAGCAUGAUACAAAUAAUCCAAGUGGAUAUGCUUAAAAGAGGUCAGAGGAAGCAGGAAAGAGUCCAAGAUUCUCUAAUUAUCCAAAAUUUAUUAUACAAAAUUUAUAAAGAGAGCAGAUGGGAAAGGUAGAGACCCUAUUCAGAAAAAAUAAGCUCAUCAAAGAUUGUUGGCAUAAUGGCAAAACCCCAGUUCACUGCAAGUUUUGCUAUCUCUUACACUCAAGGACUUUUGUACCAAUUAGAGCAGAAACGGUUCUGUCUCAGUUUUUCUGAGAUGUUGACUUGUCAUUGAACUCUCAGCCUCAGUUGACACCUCAUCCUUGACUGGAAACCUCUCUUAUACUUCAUUUAGCACAGGGGGUGGGAAGCCACAGCUCAUAGACCCAAACAUGGUCUAAGGGUUAAGAAUGCUAUUUAUAUUCUUAAAUGGUUCAAAAAAUUAAGAGGAAAAUAACAUUUUGUGACAAGAAAAUUACAUGAGACUAACACUUCAAUGUCUAUACACAAAGUUAUAUUUGCACAUAGCCAUGGCUGUUCAUUACACAUUAUGUAUGGCUGUUUUCACACUAUGAUGGCAAAGUUACAUAGCUCAACAUAGCCUGCGUGGCUCACAGAGACUCAGGUAGUCAUUAUCUGGCCCUUUACAGAGACAGCUUACCAACCUCAGAUCUAGCACUAUACGCCAUCUUGGUUUUGGAAUUCAUAAAUAAAAUCCUAAAAUUUGAGAGUAGAAAGAGGAUUUAGAAAGUCCCUGUUGACAUCUCUGAUUCAUAUCUAGCUAAGGACAGCAGACUUAUUUUUUGUGCAGUUAUUUCAUUCUUAGAUAUUUAUUUAAUAUCUAAAUGUUGUAGUAGAUAUUUACUUAAUUAUUUACUUUAAAUGUUUAGUUAAGAGGAAAUGGUCUGAUGUUCACUGGUCUUAAUUCUAUUGAGCAUGACCAAGGAUUGCCACAUAAUAAGUGCUUUAAGAUAUUUAAUAAUUUAACACUUACUUAGCGUUUACUAUAUGACAGGAUUGUUCUAAAUACUUGACAAGUGACUCAUAGAAUAUACUGAAAGGUCAGAGAACACUUUACAGAGAUAGAUACUGAGGUACAUAGAGGUUACAAAUUUACCAAGUACACAUAGUUUGUCGGAGGCAGAGUUGGGAUUACAACCCAGUUUGACUUUGGAAUCCAGGAUUUCUGUUGCUCCAUAUAUUUAAGAGUGCAUGAAUAAACAUUUAAUAGCUGCAGUCUUUCAAAUAUGUGAAGAUAACUACCAAAUUCCUAGAAAAAAAAUACAUUUAUAGAAAUUCCAAAAGCUAAUACUUACAGAGUAUUAUACUCUAUAUAAUACUUAAAGAGAAACACAAGAGAAUAAAGUCUUACAGUACUUUCUGCUUUCUCUAACUAAUCAUUCUAGGUACCCACAGAAUGGUAAGGGGUUUGAAAACCACUUAGUAUAAAAAGAGAUUGAAGCCUUUAGGAUAUUUAACCUGGAGAAGAGAACUCCUGUUAGGAAAAUAUGGGAGCAGUUCUAGGCUUUCCAUGGCAUCCAUACAGCCAGAGGAUGCAAGGACAUUUUUCCCAGAACCUACUUUCAGAAUAAAGAGACAUACUUUCUAGAAGCUUCCAGGAAAACUGUUUUAGGCAAAGUCCCUCAAAAACCAGAUACCAAGAUGAGAUUUUUAUCUGCUGGGCUUUCAUGGAGAAAAACAAGUAUGGAUGCAAACAGGGAGCUGGGAAGGCUGGCAGAGCAGUCAGAAGAUGAGGGAAUGCUGACGUGGAGUGAAGGAAAGAGGGCGAGAGGUUGGUGGAAGUGCUUGUACUGUGUGGUCUAAGCACAGUCUUAAGGGAAUUCUUUAGCCAACAUCAGCUGACUUAGAAAUUUUGUCUCCCAGGAACCAACCUGUGUUCAUAUUCCUUCAGAUCCAUAAACUUGGGGAUGACUGCCAGACUGCAGCACCUGGGCCCUUGAUCAGUUGUGCCACGGGAAUGAAUAGGAGGAUAAGGUUUCAACAGGAGGAGUCUUGAUUUGGUGCUUGCUUCUCUGUAUGGCAGGGGUCUUACAGUAAACAGGUUUGAUUGGCAUUUUGGCAAUCAAAUCUCUGGGAGUCUCCACGGCUACACUAGAACUUGAGCAGGAGCUAGAACAGGGUGCCAACCUGAAGUAAGCAUUCUCAAACUAGGGGUUUCCAUCUGGGAGUUCUUACAACUGGGCUUCCCUGCCUAAUGGCUUCAACAUCACUCAAUUCACACACAGCUCAGUUCACAUAUGGGUCAGGAUGGCUUCCGGCAUACGAGGACAUUAAAGUCUUAGGGGGUUAAGAAAUCUUCCUGAGAACACAACAGGUAAGUAGGUGGCUGGUUGAUUGCAAAGUUAUAGCAUCUCCUCCACUUCAAAUUCUUACUAUGGCCAUCUCUCUUCCAGCUUGCUUCAACAAAGCAUUUUAGAUUUGCUUUUCAGGGCUUCUUCUCUUCUGGGUGAGACUGGGAGAGCUUUGUGUCCUCUUAGGUACUGUAUUAAUGCAUUCCACCAACACCGGCUUGAGAUGGCAACUGAAGGCUCUUGAGGCUGGCACAACACCAACUAGAAGGUCAGUUUGUCCUUAAUGUCCAAUAAUUGCAGGUAGCCAAAUACAGUACAGUGCUCAGGAAUAACAUCACUUGGCUGACCUCAUAAGGAAAACUGUUUAAUGUAUCCAUUUUGGUUGCUUAGUUAUAUGCUGAUACACACCAAGAUCAUGUGAAGCUGGCACUUUAGGGAGCCAACGGAAAGACAGACAAUGACCAAAAUAACAAGGACGGUGGAGAGAGUUUCAAGGGUCAUCUCAGUGACAACUCAGACAAAGUAAUCUUUACUGUGGGUUUGCCCUAAUUUAAGGAAUACAAAUUAACAACACAGAUAAGUAAAGAAGUGAGUAUGUAUUGCAAAGAAAAGGCAUAAUGAAUUUACAGAAGGAUUCAGUGUAAGAGCCCCUUAAAUAUCAAUUAAGUGCAUUUAAAAUAUAAUUCAUUAUAUAUAAUAUCAUUUACUAUCGUUUUCAAGAGUACAACCAUUGGGUUAAGGGCUGUUCACCUAUGCUUUGAAAAAAAUACAAUUCAAAUAACUUCCACAAGAAGUUUAAUACAUUUUCUUAUGUCUUUAAUACAUUUUUUAUGUCUAUACAUUCAAGAAUAUUCAUGAAGGCUUUAUUAUGUACAAGACACACUACUGAAUUCUAAGACACUGACUUGGUAGAUCUGGGAUGAGGCCAGAUUAUGCAUUCCUAACAAGUUCCCAGACCACACUGGGUAGAAAGGGCUUCUAGAGAUUCAACUAGAAAAGGUGAGGCUCUGAGUGUCAGAGCCCAAUACCACUGUAGGUUGAGUCAGGGAAGGAUGCUGUUCCCAUCCAAUAGAUGGGUCUCUGGCAACAGCACCUGCGCCAGCACAAUCACAGCAUGCCCUUGGCUUCCGUUGCUGCUGCUGGUCAGUGGGUUUUGCAGUCCCUGAAGCUGGAGUGAAUUCCUAUUUGCAGGAAUCUUUGUAGUCUCAAAGACAUGAGUGAGAGCGGAUAUCUUCUUUCUGCCUCUGUAGUGAGAGGCAGGCUGUGCUUCCCACAAUGACUCACCAUAGGAAAAAUUGAUCUUCCUCAAACCUGGAAGGAAGAUCAGAACUGGACAGCCGAAAUAUGAUAAUGUCUACUAUAAAAAUUAUGUCAACUUAUAUAUAUAUAUAUAUAUAUAUAUAUAUAUAUAUAUAUAUAUAUAAAAACUCCACUUAUUGAUGUGGCUCACCAAUACAUGAUCCACUAUACAGAGAUAAACUUCCCAGGAACCCAUGCAGUCACAUGGCUUUAACCUUGGACGUGCCAAUCUUCCUCCAACCUUGAAUAGAAGGAACAGAUAUUCUGCAUUAACACGUCAUGCUAAUAUGGGCUCUUCCUUAUUUGCAGUAAAAAACAUUUCACAUUCCAAUUCUCAUUUGCUUUAUUUUUCUUUUUACUGAAUUUUUUUUCUUGUGUUAGGGAAUAUAUCUCUGGAUUUAGUUUAUGAGGAUCAAUCAAAUCCCAGAGGCAUUCAGUUCAUCCUCAUGAUGGGAUUUCCAGGGCUAUUUCUCCAAUAUUAAAAAAUAAAGGUAAAUCUUAUGCUGCAGUUAAGAAGAAUGAGAAAUGUCAAAGUGUACACCGGUUUGUUCCCCUUUUAGGAUCACUAUCCCCAACCAAAUUGUAAGCUGGCUUUCAUUAAAAUGUGAUAUUUAUCUUUCCAAAGUGAAUUUGUCUUCCUCUGAUAAGAAGAGAAAAAAUGUCACUAUUUGCUGCUAAAUAAAUAAAUAUAGGAACAGACACAUGAUUCUUUUAAUGAAAACCAUAAUUUGAAAACAAUAUCUUUCUUAAAUGUACAGUACACUAAUAGAGGCAAAAAUUGGCAUAAGAAUUCAAAUAAAUUCUGGGCUGGGGGUGUAGCUCAGUGGUAGAACAUGUGCUUGACCCAGCAGCACAAAAAUAAUUAAAUAAAUUCUAUCAUGUUCCAAGAAGAUAUGGACAAAGAUGCUUAUCAAAAUUAUAAUAUAGACUUUUGUUUCCACAUACUGUCUCUCAUUGCUAGUCAGUGAAGGGCAGGAAUCAUAAACAGGCAUUUUCUAUGUAGGAAAGAAGACAGUAGGUUUAGACUGUUGGGUUAGACAGAGAAAAGGGAUCCAGGAGACUCAAUCACCUGACUGAAUUAUCCACUAUUGAAUCAGGUAUAAAACAGCACAUCAAUUAGGGGUCCAAUAUGUGAAGCAGGCACAGAUUCUCAGGGGAUAAACAGAUUGCCCCAGACCAGGCCUGACACCAUAGGACAGGCAGAGAACUUGUGUUCUCUUUUCAUGUCUGGACAAACAAAAGACUUAGCUCAUCUAAUUUUAAAACUAACAAUGGGGAUCUUCAACAUUUACUUCACAAAUACAGCAAAUUGGAAGUGCAUUGGUCUGGAGGCCUAAUUUUAAUUCUGUUUCUGACACUCUUUCCUCAUCUGAGGAAUGAGAAGUUUGGAAUAAAUGACCAUAAUGAUUUUUCUUUCUUGGCAUGUCAAUCAAAAGACUAAAAUGAUUUCUGUCUACGACAUGCUCUGUUAGAAGGAGAGGGAUGGGAUUAGGAAAGAACUUUAGAGGUGAGGGAAAUGAAAAACUUGAAGAAACACCUAGAGAAGGAUGAGAACUGUGGAGAGGUCUUCAGUAGGUAGUUAAUAAGAGGAACUCCAUCCCCUGGAGCUGUGGACUAAGGAAGAGUCUUUGACUUAAUCAUUAAGCCCAUCUGAUUGUUCCCAGCAGCUAAUAUCUGUUUCUUGAGUAGCUUUAUUCUGAAUGAGAUAGUUACAGCAACUCACCAGGAGGUGAAAUGAUUUUUUUGGUGACUAGCAGAGAUAGCCAGAAUACUAUCACUCCAGGAGCAAGAUAUGAAUCUAGUUUAAUAUUGGACUUCAUCACUGAUCUUGAAUGUUCUCUCUUGAGUAAAGGACCCCAAAUCAGUGCAUUUGGAACCAUAAAAUGUGAUUCAGAACCCAGGAGGAGAUAUGCAUCAAAUUCUUAUAUACUUAAACCGAAGAUUAGCCACUGUCACGGAAAUAUCUUAAUGAAGGUGGCUGGCCUUUUGUUUUUCUACAAACAACAUGUUGGAAAAGGAAAAGAGAGAGACUGGGUUUAAGAAAAUAAUUUUUUUUUAAGUUCUCUGGUAAUUGAAAAUUGGCUGCAUUUAUUUUCUGGUUUGGGUUUUUCUUUUUUGGCUUGAACUGUGAAAAGGAGCAAGCAGAAAGAAAUUUUAUUCUGCUUUGACACUGAACACAGUAGCUACACAUAACGCUUUUUAAAGUCCUACCAUAUGCCCAUCUAUCACACACAUAAUUUAGCAUGUACAAAAACUCUGAGAGUCUGAUGGUAUAACCCUUGUUUUGGAUGGUGAUCCUGAAUAGGAAUUUUGAGGUGUAGGGGAGAUCCUCAGAAAUUAUGAAUGAGUUCGGCUAAGGUCUCUUCACUUCAAGUCAGAUGUGCUUAGAGCUGCUACUCAGCUUCUGGAAUCAUCUGGUAGGCAGCUUGGCUGUGAAAGGAGUAUAUUUGGCUCAACUGCAGAUCAAGACACCAACCAGCAACAGCCUAAAAACAGAUACUCGCCCAGCCCUAAAGGCAUCAAUGUGUUUUGGGACUACAACCUUACAAUUGUCCCUUCUGGAACAGUGUUACACACCUCACAGCAUACUGGUUGAAUAAAUGAGUGAAUGCGCUUGCCUCUUUGUCUGCAAAAAUUGACUAUGACUGACGAUACAGAAGUAUUUCCCCAAAGAGUGAAUCUUCCUAAACACAAAAACCUGAAAUGUUAAUAUUCUGAAUUGGUCUCUUUGUCUUGUUCUCUAGAAACUAAUUUCAAUGUCAUCCUGUAACUUGGGUCUAUUCAAGUUCCGAGAACUGCAAUAUAAUAGUAAAUGGCCAAGUUGAUUGUCUUGAGUUCAUUGACCUGUGAAAAGGAGACUUUGGGGGGGGACUUGGGGGGAUGAGCCUGUGUACUCUUGCGUCAUUUAUCAGAAUUACCAAAAGAAAAAGUAGGAUGUAAGUCAACACUUGUCUGUCAGUAGGUAAACCUUGAAUUAUUUGCUAAGUAGGAAAGUAGGUUAAAAACAACUCUUUUAAAAAAAAGAUUUUAUGUGCUGUAGGUCGCUUUAUACAUUAUCAAGUAGCAGCAGACUCUCUUUCUUCUAAAUCAAAGUCAUCAAAGUAUUCAGAGUGGAACAGAACUAGAAUUAUCAGCAUUCACUUUCUCAACUGUAAGAUGUUUUGAACCCUAGAUAAGAAUGGAGCUUAAGAUGAAAAUGGUACCUACAAUAGGUUAAAGAUUUUAAAUUUGGGAAAAAAAAGACCUAACAAAUCUGCAACUAUAGACUAUCAGAAACAAGUGCCAAUCAUGGAAGGAUAAGGUGAAAACAAUACAGCGUGUCACUAUAGCAGAGAUUGUCAUAAAAUAUGGCAAUAGAUGGAGUGGCUCUCCAGCCUUGUACCUGUUUCCACAAUAUUCCACAUAUACAUCAUGCUCUUAUCCAGAAGAUGAAGGACAUAAUGAGAAUCACAGAUGCAGAGCUAUAUUUGUUGGCACAGGAAAAUGUCCAAACAUAUUGCUGACUGGAAAAGCCAGAUUCUAGGACAUUAUGUAGAAUUACAUCUAUAUGUGCACAUUCAUAGAGAGAUGUCUCCAAGGAUAUUCAGCAAAAUGUAAAUGGAGGGUGGGAUUUCAAGUGAUUUCUACUGUCUUGUUUGUACUUUUCUGUAUAAGCAAUUUGAUUGUGUGUGUGUGUGUGUGUGUNACACUGGGUGUGCGGGUGUUUUCCCAACUCACACCAGCUAUAGCAGUUCUCCAGCAGAUUCUCCAACAGACAUCAGCUGGGUGUCCUCCGGUGCAAUUCAAUUCUGACACUCUUUACCUGGAGACAGCUUUGGAUCCCAUGGGUCAAGGGUGCAGUGCCACAGACUGCCUCUCUCCCUUCAGAUGCCAGUGGCAAGUGUGACUUGUGACCUAUGCUUCUGACUGGCUUUACAUCAGGGUUCCUAGGAACCCUUCCUGCAUUCAAUUAAUUUGUGAGAGUGACUCACAGAUCUUAGGGAAAUACAUUUAUCAGUUUCUUAAUAAAGGAUAUAAUAAAGGAUGCACUGAACAGCCUGAAGUAAAAAUGCACAGGGCAAGGAAUGGACAACAGGGCUUGGGUCCUCCAUGUCCUCUUCAGGUCACACCCACAGGAACCUCCCUCCACAUGCUUAGUUAUCAGGAAGUUCCCCGAGCCCAGUACUUAAGGGUAUUUAUAGAAGGAAGCUUCAUUAUAUGGCAGGAUUGAUUAAAUCAACUGAACAUAGGUGAUCGAUUCAAUCUUCAGCCUUUCUCCCUUCCUGAAGGUUGUGGGCAGAAAAUUCCAAGCUUCUAAUCAUGACUUGAUUGGUCCUGUAAACAAUCCCAAUCCUGAAGCUAGCCACCAGCCCUCUGACUAGCAUCUAAAAGACACUCUUCCCCAAGGGUUCUAGAAGUUGUGCACCAGGAAAUGGACUUAGACCAAGUAUAGGUUAUUUUAUAAUAAACCACAGUAUCUUAAGAGGUUUAAGGUUGAAAUGGUUCUCUUUUCCUCUAUGUUAAGAAAUUUCACAUGUGGGAGUUAACGUUGAAAGAUCAGUGGACAAAUGGAGAGAACCAGAUUUUGAAUUAAGCAGGAAUGCCUCUCUGUAUACUUCUUAUUCUCUGCAACGAAUGCGUGUUGGCAUUAGAAGGCUGAACUGCACAACACAUACAGAAUAUUAAUAUUCAGUAAACAAUCAUGAUUACAGUCACCAAGUGCCAAGUAUCUGCUGUCUGAGUGUUUCCAGCCUCCUUUUAAAAUAGUGCAGCUGUUACAUUAAUGGGCGAGGAUCCAGGGUAAUAGGAAGGAAUAAAAAUUGUUGCAUUUGAUUAGUUCUAGUGGAUGUCAUCUUCAAAAUGCGACUAAUUUGAUAAUACCAGAGCAUUUCUGAGGGAAGAAAGAAAAUAAGAAUAAUGUUGUGUAAAUAGAUACAUUAUUAUUUUCAUCUCUUUUGACAUUGACAUUCUCGAAGCAAAAUGACAGCGAGGAAGUGAGAAAUAAGUGAAGCAGCCUUUUCUGUCUAUGGAUAAUUGCAUGAAGGGCUGACAGUUCUGGGCCAGAGGAGCAAGAGUGGGUCCAAUGCAGACUGGCUUUUCCCUUGGAAUUGUUAUAGCAACUCAAAUUCAAAGAAUGUUUAAUAUGUUCCUGGCCCUUUGCUAGCAGCCUCACGUAGAUUAGAGCAUUUAAUCUUCACCACCAACCUGCAGAGUUAAGCACUGUUAUCACUGUCAUUUUACAGAUGUGAAAAUGGAAGCCCAGGAGUCAGGCAACUUCUCAAGGUCACAGAGCCAGAGGUGGUGCUAGCAUCUGUACUCAGGCCUGUCGCUCCCUCAGCUACUAUGAUCUGUUGUUUCUCAAAGUGGACUGGCUAGACAAAGAGGGCCAUGUCAUAGGUAGCCCACCAGGUUACUGGUCCUCAAGUUUUAAAUCAGCUAUUGUGGGAGGAAAAAUUUUAAAAAAAUUAAUUUUAAUUUUAUGCAUUGAAAAUAGUUUCCAUCAAGCCAAGUUGAGGCCACUUUUGCACUGUGGUCUUUGAAAUGCUCUGUCUCUUCUUGUUCCUUUUUUCAUGUUCCUCGGUUUGUAAAGCAGGUCUACAGAAGAAUUAAAUUCAUACCUAAUUAGGAAGGAAGGAAGGAAGGAAGGAAGGAAGGAAGGAAGGAAGGAAGGAAGGAAGGAAGGGGCCUAGAAAUGCUUAAAACUAAAAUUUUGGUUUUGAACCUACUGACAUUGCUAUGGCUUGGAUAACUCUCCCCCAAAGACUCACACAGUAAAGACUUGAUCCCCAGGCCAUGGUAUGUUUUGGAGGCACAGGAACCUUUAAAAACUGGGGACUAGUGUGAGAAAGUUAGGACAUAGAGGGAGUGCCUCCCAGCCAUGAGGUGAGCAGGUGGCUUUACCAGGGGCCUCCUGCCAUGACGUGCUGACAUGCCACAGGCCCAAAGCAACAGGAACAACUGGACUGGAACCUCUGAAACUGUGAGCCAGGAUAAGCGUUUCCUCCUUUCAUUUCUUCUCUCUCUCUCUCUCUCUCUCUCUCUCUCUCUCUCUCUCUCUUUUGUACUAGUUAUUGAACCCAAUGGUGCUUAACCAUUAAGCCUGCCAUUUUUAAUAUUUUAUUUAGAAAUGGGGGUCUCACUGAGUUGCUUAGGGCCUCACUAACUUGCUAAGGCUGACUUUGAACUCACAAUCCUCCUGCCUCAGCCUCCUGAACCACUGGGAUUAUAGGCAUGCACCCCUAUGCCCAGUUUCUCUUUUUAUAUGUUUGAGAAACUCUCCCUAUACAGCAUCCACGUCUGAGGGAAAACAAACUCCACCUUAAGCUCCAAGGAAAAAUCCUGAUUCAUUUAAUUCUAUACCAAUCAUAGCAAUCCUGUCCUUGCUUCCCUCCCCUCCCCCACGAUUCACCCUGGGAACUGGACUGAGGCCAAUGAGUAGAUGGCAAUUCUCCAGAAACUGAUAUAACAACAGGCACGUGCCCUUCGUGGGUCCAAGAAGGCUAAAAGGAGAGAUCUUUUCUUCAUACUUAGGCAUGAGACUUCUACUUGUUCCCAGCUGAUAAUGGCAGCGGACAGGGAUGCUGAUGUGGAGACAAACGGAUGCAGACAGGCUGAGGCUGGGGACCAGGGAGCUGUGGAGUGGGAGCCCUGUGUGUAUUGGGGCUGGGAAUUGACCUGCCUCUGAAUCUCCUGUGACGUGAGACAAUACAUUUCCCUGAUGUGUAAGCCCGUUAGAGUCAGGUUUUCUGUGCCUUCCUGACACACCAUCAUCCUAACUGCCUACAAUAGUAGAGUGGACACAUGUUGCUUGCCUUCCUAAAACCUGUUCCCCUUUCCCACCCAACAACAGUAGCCCUGAUUUUUUUUUUCAGGGAUCCAUCCCCUACCAUCUUGCCAUGUGGCUUCAAUGGAGAGUCAUUCUUUGGGGUCCACGCGGGUCUGUUCCCUGGACGCCCUGGUUGGUUCAGCCUAGUCACAGAGGUAACAGGAAAGUUGCUGAGGCUUCUGAAAACAAGCCUCUCCUCUUUCCCAUAGGAGAACCAGGUGCCUAGUUCUCUUCUCUCCUGGACAGCAGGUGAGCAUGGGGCCUGUGUGAGUUCCCUAGGCCUGCUGUAACCAGUCACCAUGAACUGUGGCUUCAGUCAGCAGAAGUGUAUUUAUUCUCUUGCAGUGCUGAGAACCCAGAGUUCAAAUGCAAGGUGUUGACAGGGUGAGGCUUCCUCUGAAAGCUUUUGGUAAGGAUCCUUCCUUUCAUCUUCCAACCUUUCCCUGUGUGGCUCUGUGUUCAAAUUUCUGUCUUUUUAUAAAGAACCAGCCAUUGAAUGAGAGCCCAUCCUAAUUCAGUAUGACCUCAUCCAAACUUGCUGACGUUACAAAGACCCUAUUUCCAAACCACUUUCACAGGUCUCAGGUAGAUGUGACUUUUGGAGUAACACUAUUAAAUCCAGUAGAGGGCCUAGGACAGUUGCAGCUGUUUUUGCUAUCCUGAAGGAACCCAAUCCGAGAAUGAAGUGAACACACAGAGCCAUGCAGCUCAAGAUAAUCUCAAAGCAAGAGACAUCUUCUGUCUUCUAGAUCAAACUAUGCCUGAAGCAAACUUUAGAAUUUUAAUCUACUCUAACCUAGAAUUUUCUGUUUUUAUUUAAGAUACUUUGUGCUACAGUUUUCUUUUGCUAGUUAAAGUCAGAAUUCUCAUGGAUAGAAAUUGAUCUGAAUAUGUUGAAAGGAGGAAAAAGUUCAUGCUGAACAAUCAGGAAUGGCAUGAGAAAAAAAUGAUCAAAAGAAAAAUAAUAGGAAUAUUGGCUACAGGAAAGUAGCUAAGUAGAUGAGCGGAGAGGCAUACAAUGAUAUAGGUUGGUUAGUAUAAGUUUUUGGAGGUCUGUACAUUUCAAGCUAAAUAAUUGAAAAAUUUCUAUAAGUACUUGGCUUAUAAGUUUUUUUUUAACAAGGAAACUGAAUCAAUUAAUGUGGCAUUUUAGGUUAAUUAACAGUGAAGUGAAGUUAUAUUAAAAGGGGGCAAAUUAGAAGAAGAAAAACUAAUUAGAAGAAGCCAGAAGCAAGAUCAAAAUUUGAUUCUGUUGAUGUUUUCCGAUUCAUUCAAGAGUAGAGGGAUGGCUCUUAACUUCUGGAUUUCCCAAACCUGGCUUCCUUCCUCUUCCCAGAACCAUUGUACUCUUUCUGCAUUAGGGGCUCUGCGCUGGCUGUCCCCACUGCCAGAAAUGCUUCUUCAUCCUAAUCUUUACAUGUCUCAAUCCUUAUUCAAUUCUCAGCUCACGAGUCACCUCCUCAGAGGGGACUUCCCAGACCAGUCAGGGGGGGCAGAACCACUUGUCCCUGUCUGUCAUACCUUGCUAGGCACCUGUCCCUCUCUAUCAUACUGCCCUAUUUAGAUUUUCUGUAGCAGCACCAGCUGAUAUUUUCUUAUUUAUUUAUUAAUUCUUGGAGUCCCUUCUCCUCCCCAGUUACAAAAUAAGCCCCAUAAGAGUUGGAUCAUAAGAGUUGUUGACCAUUUCAGUGUUGUAUCUCCAGUACCCAGUAGGAGCUCAUUAAUUACGUGUUAUAUGACUGAAUCAUAAAUAAAUUUGGCUUUGAAGUUUUAAGACCGGUGAAAUAUAAAAUCAUUAAGUUAAACGAAUCUUAGUGGAUCAGCACAAUUUAAUAACUGCUAAUUGAGUGAUAAAAUAUUUUAAAAAUAAAUUUUACUCACAAAGCACACAGAAAUGGAAGAACUGAAGUAUGUAAGUAUUUUUCUCAGUAUUUCAAAAAGUUAUGGGUAAUUUUCAGAACAACACAGUUGUCUGUUUCCACCAGAAAUGCCUUGGGCAUGAAGAAAAGCCCAGGGGAAGUGUGAAGGAAUUUAUUUAAGCUUUUGUUUCCAUUUUCCCCAGUGGUAGUUUCAAGACCUGUAUUGUAUAACUAGCUUGGGGUUUCUAGAGCAACUGAGUCUCUGAAAUGAUUGGGAAUAAGAAGCAUCCUCUAUUUUAUUUUAACUACAACAGAACCUUCUCGUCCCCUGACUUGCUCUCGAGUAACUAGAAACCUCUGUGCUACUUGCCUAGACAAAAGUGCUUUUGACUUCAGCAUGAGGCUCUCUCACUAUUAAUAAUUGUGUUCUUUUUUCUUGAAAUAUGCCACAGUUCACUUUUCAGUCCUUUAUGAAAAAUCUUUGUUGCAUCAAAUGAAGAUCAAGCCUGAGCAAAGGAACAGAGGGGCACAUUCCGCCAUGCCGAGAACUUUCUGUGCCUACUUUCUCCACUGGUUUCCCAGGCUGCUGUCAUUUGUAAUUUACCAUUGUGACUUUUUCUGAUAUUACAAUGAAUGGGCUUGUAUGUAACACCCAUUUUCCUCUUUUGACGGAAUUGACUAGCAAAUUAUUUGAAGUUGCCUCUUGAGGCCAUGAGGGGGAAAAUGUCAGUGUUAGCUAAAAGGAAUUGGCCAGUCUGAGUAAAUGGACUACUAAGCUCAAAUUACAAACUUAAUAAUAGCUCAAUAGAAAUACAUCUAUAUCUUACUGUCAAUCAAGUUUGGGAAUGAAACUCUAAGGAACUGAUAAAUAUUUCUGAUGUUAUUGAAAUUUUUUAGUGAAUUCUGUUUUUAUUUCUCUAUAUAUUUUUUUCCUGUAACAGAAUAUCUUAGACUGGGUAAGUUAUAAACAGAAGUUUAUUUGGCUAAUGGUUCUAGAGGCUGGAAAGUGCAGGAUCAAGGGCUAUCAUAACAUGGUAGAAGACCACAAGAAAAGAGAACAUAUAAAACAGAAAAAAUCAGGGGCAAGGGAACAAACUCUUCACUUUUAUAACUAAGCCAUUCCCCCUACAACAGCCUUAAUCCAUUCACAAGGCUGAUAUCCUCAUAAACUAGUCACCUCUUAAAGGCCCCACUUCUUUGCACUGUUGCCUUGGAGAUUAAGUUUCUAAUACAUGAACUUGGUGUAGGGGGGUUUCUUUCAAACCAUAGAAAUCCUUAUGUGAAAUUACUACAAUAUUGACUGGCAUCUAGAAAUCUUUAAAUCACAAAACGUUUUUAUCUUCUUCCCUUCUUUCUUCUUUCUUUCUUUCCUGACUGCCUCUCUCCCUCUGGCCUCCUCUUGCCUUUCUAACUCUUCCUCCCCUCUCUUUGUCUUACUAGUUUUAUUAUUUAUAAUGGCAAUUAAUCAGGAUUUCUUUUGAAUGAUCACCCUUUUAAGGAAGGCCUAUUUUUAAAGUAAAAACUUCAAAAGAAUUAAUAAGGCCAUAAGACAGCAAAUUAACUUUUAUAACUAUUUUCAUAAAUUUAAAAUAUUUGACCCAGUACCAUAUACUUCCAAAUUAAGCAAUUUAGGCAAACUUUUUUUGUGAAGAAUGUAUAGUUCUCUCAUAAAUAAUUUGUAAAAAUUGUAAAGAACCAUUUUUAAUUAACUGAGAUAUAUACUGGAAAAGUUAAUGUGCUAUAAAACUAAAUAUGUAUAAGUUUAUUUUAAAAUAUUCUUGAAUUUUAGAAAUCUUAGCAAAAUUUGUAUAUUUAGUUGAAUAGUCAUAUUGAGAAGCUCUUCAUUUACUUCACUUAUGGAGUCUCUUUUAAAACAUUUUUGGACUGUCUCUUUGGAAUUAAUUUAAGAGCUUACAACACAUCCUUUUGAAUAUGUUAAUGGCAGAUUUUCUUUCAUUAGAGACUGGUUUGAAUUUUGGAAAUUGUCAAAAACCAUUUGUUUUUAAAUCAGUUUCAUAAAAUAAGUGAUCAAUUUACAUUAUAAUCUUUGGAAUUAUAAAACAAAGUAACAGGAGAAGAAGGAAUAUAAAGCAAUUUGGUUAAUUUUCUUGUAUAGUUCAGAGAGCAUCUGAAGUCAUGUUUUGUAGUAAAUAUUUUCGUUUUCUAUUUAGUUGCUAUUUAAUGAUUUCUACUCUCCAGAGGAAAAAAAUGUUUUGAAUUGUUAUAAGUAGUUUGGCUUAAUUAGUCUUUUGGAGCUGAGGAAUCCCUUCUACCAUUUCAACACAAGGAAUAGGGCAUGUUCAGGUAUUCUGGGAUGCAUUUUAAAGAUGUUUCAUCUCCUACACUGCAUUACUCAGAUGUACCCAACAGGAAGAUGAAGAAUACCAAAUAAGAAAGAAACAUGAUUGUUGAACUCCAUGUCCCCAAGAUGAAAAUCUGUCCCAUUUGUAUGAAUUUCAGAGUGUUCUACAAUGAACACAGAUGGGUUUAUAGGGGUCCAAGACUCAUCAUUAGUGGAACAAAGAAAUAUUGGUAAAUUGUGGAUUUUAUGCAUAAAAACAGAAAAAGACUGUACUUGAAUAAGGACAAGAACAACCACCACUUUCUUCAUCCUGGUUUUACCAGCCUCCUUGGUUCAUUUCUCCAACAAACAUGUAUCAUGUGUCUCCUGGAUGGCUGGAGUAUUCUAGGGGCUCAAGUUCUGUGAUCAAACACAUCUUUCUCUGUCUUCAUGGACCAGGGACAUUGGGUGACAAGGGCAGUAUAAUUAAAAUGUAGUAUAAUUAUGAGAGAGAGAGAGAGAGAGAGAGAAAGAGAGAGAGAGAGAAUAGUUUUAAGUUCUUAUCAAAUCUACAAAGAAAAGUCCAGUAGAGCAGAAGUCAGAAGACAGUGAUGGGGUCAUUGCUUUAGAGAGGGAUCUUGGAAAGGUCCAAAGGUUGGCAACAGGUUCAGGAAGUUUGUGAGGUGAAGUCUGCAUGGCAUUAGGGAGUCCUCCUUAUCAAUAGCUUUCCAGGCAGAAGCAAACAAGCAGACAGAGGCACUGAGGUGGAGGUGUGCCUGGGGUGUUUUGAGGGCAAGAAAGGAUACCAUGGUGGAUGGAGUAGGGAAAGCAGGCUGGGGCCAGUAGGGGGUGAAGCUGGAGAUCACAGAGGGCUCAGGUCCGGUGGGGUUUGUGGGUCUCACAAAGAAUUGGAAUUUUUUUAAGAGUACAAAUGGAGGCCAUUGGAGGGAUUUUAGCCAGGACAGUGAAGCAAUCCAAUUUCAUUUUGUAAAAGACCCCUCUGUUAAUUACUAGAAAUUCUCUGCUAACAUUUACGGGUUGCCAUGUGCCAGACACUAUGCCAGCCAUUUUACACAGUAAAAUUACAAUAAAAUCCAAACUCCUUUCCAUAUCCUACCAUUGCAGCUUAAGUUGUGUCCCCUAGAAAGAUCUGUUGAAGUUCUACUGUCCUGUUCCUCAAAGUGUAAACUUACUUGGAAAUACAGUCUUUAAAAAGAUAAUCGAAUGAAAACGAGAUCCUUAGGGUGGGCCCUAAUUCAAUGUGACUGAUGUCGUAACAAGGGGAGGUUUGGGCACAGACAGAUAUGUGGAGACUCAGGGAGACCCUGUGAGAGUAGAGAUUGGAGUGACAAUUCACUGAGGAACAUGGGAGACAGCAGUCAAACCACAGAAGCUGGAAUGGGGACAUGGAACGACUGACCUUCUCCUCUCUUGGAAGGAACCAACCCAAGUGACACCCUUGUUUCAGUCUUCCAGGCUCCAGAAUGAGGAGAAAAAAAUUGUUAUUUGAAGGCAGUCAGUUUGUGCAACUUUGUCUUGGCAAAGCCCAGGACACAAAUACCACUCUUUCUCCCUCACCCACUGCAGUCAGUGCUGCUGGUCUUCUCCAGUCCUGCUCACAGCCCCUGCACCUGCCCUCCCUGUGUGGAGUGAGUGCCUCAAGAUUGGCACAUGGCUGGCCCUUCCUGUCCUUCAGCCUGCACAGUGAGCAGCAACUCCUCAGCCAGGCCCUCUUGGACUUCUGAUCUAAACUGGCACCCUCACCCCUGUCUACCCCACCCCUGUGCUCAAGGACACAGAACACAUACCCUGUUUUACGUUUUAUUUUUGCAAUACUUUCUACUCCCUGAAGCAAUCUUUUUCAUGUACUUACUUGUUUAUGGUCUGUCUCUCUUCUUUCCUUGUUCUAUCUCCCACCUAGAAAAUAAGGAACAAGAACAGAAGGCUUCUUUACUUAACACUUGGACUCCAGUGCCUGUAAGAUAUCCUGAAACAUAAUAGACACUCAAUAAAUGUUGGUUUAAUGAACAAGUAAUCCAGACACUAGUUACUCUUUGAGAUUUGAUUGAAAUUGUUGGAGUCUUCCUUAGAUACUAUAAACUUCUGGGGACUGACAUUCUAUUGCCUGCACAUUGCUGCUGGACUCUGUCUUACCCACCUUAUUCCUGUGGCUGGGGCCCUUCCUCUGCUCUGCACAGCUCAGAUGGGCCUCUUUCCUGGUUUUCCCUCUUAAGCCACUCACCCAUGUGUGUUUGUAUGCAUCUGACCCAUCUGAAGGGUGAUAGCAACAGACAAAAAAACCUAACAGUGGUGGUGGACACUGGUGUCCUUGUUAAAAUUCAUCAGCAUCUCACCCCUGGGAAGUUCUGAUGUGGAUACGGUUCUCCUGAGACUCCCAGCUUUCUUCUUCACUCUCUUUAUUCCCUUUCAUCUAUGCUCUUCCAUGCUUUCCUCAAUCCUUGUUUAUUUUACUUUAUUUUAUUUUAUUUUCCAGAGGAGUAUACAAUUCCCAUUGUUUCUUCACAUUAUUUCAUCCCUUAAUCCCAACCCCAUUCCAAACAGCUUGGUAAGUUAUAUUACUACCCAGAUACUUUCAUCUCUUAGUGUAACUCUGAUGCCAGUGGGUAAAGUUAUUUAUAAUUUUAUUACACUUUGGAGAAUUGUAUCAUUUAAUUGCUACAAUAAUAAAACAGUGAAAUGAAUCCCACUAUGAUCUCCAUUACACAUGAAGAAAAGGAGAAUUAUUAAAAAUUUUAAAUGAUUUUUCCAAAGACAAACAUCAAAUGAUGGUUUUAAGGUGUGGCCCUAAAUUGUGAGUUAGUAACAUAAAAAAUGUGUUACAUACAUACAUGAGCAUGUGUAUAAUAUAACUACAUAAUAUAUAUGGAUGGGUAGAUAUAUUUGUGUUUUAAUAAAAUGUCUAAAUGUGUAUGUAAUUCAUCUCAAACAUGAGUUGAAUUUAUCUCAUUUAUUAUUUCUUUUGUUCAUAAAGAGUCUUAAGUUAUAUAACAGUACUUUCAGAUAUUAGAUCUGGGAGAAUCUAAUGGGACUUACAGUUUCUAUGCUGGUAUCAAGAUUGAGGGCACCAGAUAGUCUUGACCAAUAUUGGCUCCAAGUUAGACACACUUGGGCUCAAAUACACAUCUGGCCCUAGCACUACUUGGGUUUGUGACUGUGAGCAGUUCUCUUAGGCUUUAAUCUCAGUUUCUAAAUCUAUAUAGUGAGUGUAACAACAAGACCUAUCUCAUGGGGUUGUUGAGAGAGUUAAAGAAGAUAGUGUAACAGGAUGAUAUAAAGAAUGCAGUCGUGCCGCAGUCUGGCUGGGCACAAUCAGGAGCCACUUGUCAAAAGAAACUAACUUUAUUUUUAGAACCACACAUGCCAAACAAAACAGCUCCUCAGGAAAAACCCUCAGAGCCCCAACUGCCAUCACUGGCUUCCCACAAGCCUCUCUCUCAACCAGGAGCCUCUCUACCUCCCCCCAUCCUCCUGCUCUUGAGGCCGAUUGGCUGGGUCGCAUGGGCGGAGCCAAAAAAGUCCACCAAUGAGCAGCUCUGUGGUCUGAAAGGGCAGGGAAACAGCCCAAUGAGCAUCACCGCAGAGGAGCCAAUCAGCUAGAUGUUGCUGGGGCGUUGUGAGCCAAUCAUCAGCUGGCAGCUGGAAGUUUGCUGGGGCCCCUUGGCUGUGGCUCUCAACACAGUCGUGUUUGAGAAACGGAACACCCUACACAUGUAAUAUGGGCAACCUUGGUCAGAAGCUCUGGGACAUAAAAACUGAAACACCCUUCUUAGCAUCAACAAUGACAUCCUUAAGAGAAGCAAAUCAAAAUCAAAUUCAGAAAAUGUUACUUUUCAGAUAUUGGGAACACACACACACACACACACACACACACACUCACACACAUAAUUCAAUUAGCUGGUCUUUCCCCAAGUCAUUAAUUCCUUGUGUAAGCUGUAGCAUUACCUGUUGCUUACCAAUAGCAUCCCAUGUCGUGCUCCUCAAUCAAUCAAAGGCAAAGCCAUCACCAGUAACACCCGGUGUCUCUCAUUUAAAAGGGAAGAGGCUUUCUUUCAUAUUUAAGAAUUGAGGUCACCGGGAUAUUGGAGAAGCUAAUGGCUGUUUUGGUAGCAAAUCUUUACUUACUUUUUAUGUUUUUAUAGAAAAACAUCAACAAUACUUCACAGAAUUCAUAGUAUUUAUUCAGGAAAGGGUGAAAAAUUCUUAUAGAGUUAACCCUCUUGCAUUCAAAACUUGUUAUAAAUACGUGUCAUGGAAUUAUCAUUUAUUUUACUUCUUAAUUUGAUAGAUGGCCUAUACUCCAAACAGCUAUUUUAAAAUAUUUAUUUCCUGUGAAAUGUAAGAAAUAACUGGGGAAAUGAUUUGAUGGAGACAAGUGAGAUCUAAGAGCUGGAAAUUUAAUUAACAAAUCCAGAUUUUCCCAGGAUAUAAUGGAGUUUAAACCCAAUUACCAAAAAUUUGUAAUAUGUUAAUGAAUGAUCCCAAGAUUAUCAACAAACUGAAAAUUUAUCCUUACUGAAAUCCAGGAUCUAGGGAAAAUGAUCAGUGAAUGUCUGUCUUUGUUUUGUCUAACCUCACCAUGGAGAAAAUGCCAAUGAGCAGUAAUAGGGAAGGAAAAUGGAAGAGACUGGAGUUCAACUCUGGACACCAGCUGACUACAUGGUUAAUAAUAAUAAGUGAGAAAGCAUGCAGUAGAAAGUGCUUUAUAAAUCAUAAGGACCUACUCAUUAUUGUUACUAUAGUUUCUAUUACAUUACCUUGAAUUGUUCUUUAUUUCAGAGAGCAGAUUAAAAAGAGACAAGAUUAAAGUAGUGAGUAAAAAUGAGAAAACUAAGCAAUAUUUUUUUAAUAUGAGGUUUGUUUAAAUAAUAUGAGUAGUGGCAACCUCAUAAAUAUAGUCUUUGAAUGUCUUCACCAUCUGAGUCUUUCAGGGACUGCUUAACUGCAGGCUCUGCUGAAGGAGGGAGACCACUUUCCAGGGGACAGUGAACUUGUGUGGUUCAAAAUCCUCCAGCUCAUUCAGAAUCCAGGUAUUUGCCUAGAAUGCCAAAAUAAUAGAAGACCUGGAGUGGUAGUUUAUGUUGGAAUGCAUUUGCAAACCCUGAAUCAUCAGUUGCACAAUACUCAGGAGACUCUCUCUAUAGCAGUCAGUAGUAUUAUCUGCAUUAAGUGCAAUGAUGGAAACAUGCAGUUAUGGAGAAGCUCUGGCUUCUCAUAGACAAUGAAGUUGAUACACUGUUCACACAUGUCCAUAUACUACUGUAAAAGAGUAUUACAUGGCAUCUCUCAGGAUUGUGCUUUUUUUAAAACAAAAUUCUUAUAGUUUUAUGAAUUCAGCCAAUAUGUAUUUAGCAAUGACCAUACGUAGGACCAAGUUAGGAAUUAAAAUGAACAAAGAAUUCAGUUGUGAAUCCCUUUCUUAAAGAACUUAGUCUAGUCCAGGAUUUCACAAACUUACACUGUUGACAUAUUUUUUUUGUUGUUGUUGGGGGGAGGGUUGUUCAAGGAUAUUUAGCUGUAUCCCCCAGACCCAAUCUACCAGACACAAGUAACACCCUGGUCACAAGUUGUUGCAACUCAAAACAUCUCCAGAUAUUGCUGAAUGUCCCCUGAGGACAAAAUUGCAUCAGAGAAUCACCAGUCCAGUACAAGUGAUAAAACAUGGAUACACAAAGAUAUCAAGUGAUGCCUAACAAGGAAGAAAUACAGAUAAGCACUAUGGAAAGUCACAGGAAGUAAAGGUCACUUUGAGCUGAAGAUUUUCUGGAGAAGGAAAUAUUUAAAUAAAUAUUUAAAUAAGGCCAUGAUGAAUUCUUAGGAUCUAAAGAUGCAAAGAAGGGAAGGACAUUCUAGGUAGAAGGAACAGCAAAUACCAAGAAAUUGAAGAAUAGAUGAAAUAGCUGGGAAUUUUAUAGAAAUCACAUCAGAUGGGUAACAAAGACCUCUCAUAGAUCCUAUGAUCAAGCAGGGUUUACCCUGUUGUGAUGGGGACACAGUGAUAGGAUCUUCAGCUCUGACUAGCACAAUCCCUUAUGGAUAAACUGCAGAUAAGAUGUAGGUGGGAGUAGGAUGUUAGGAGCCAGAUGGAAGCAUUGGCAUGAACAGUGUAUCAUCCAGAGAAUUCAGGAGAGGUGGAUAGGAGAUUAUGGACCUUACAAAAGUUUCAAAGCAAACUCAGUAAGACUAGGAGGGGGAAAAAAAAGAUUGAAUCAAAUAUGACCUAGAUGUCUGGAGCUUGGAGGUAUUAUUAAUAGAACUAAAAAGUGGUGAGAACAGUAGAGUUCAGAUUAGAGGGAGGUAAAUUCACUUGGGCCAUGCUCACUUUGAGACUCCAGUGGCAUACUGGAGUGAAUAUAUUCAUGAGGGAGUUGGAAAAGUCAUGUCUGGGGUGUGGGAGGUAGAUCAGAGUCAAGGGAGGAUUUUGGAAUUAUAUACUCUUAUGACUUUUUCUUCUCUCUCCCACUAUUCCUUAUGUUUCUUUUCUAGUCUUUUUUUGUCUUUGAAUCUGUUGUUGACACUUGUUAUCUCUCUCUCUCUAGUUAUUCUUUGAGUUACAGCAAUGAUAAUAGCGAUAGUAAUAAUAAUUAGUAAUGAUAAUAACCAACAGCUAUCACUCAUGAAGUGACUGUUACAUUUCAGGCAAGGAAUAACUGCUUUCUGCUUGUCUUUUUUCCUUCCUUCCACAGGAACAUUCUUUCAGUGUACCUCCCAUUACCUGGCCUCUUUAAUUUCUCAGAAAAAAAUGCUUUUAUUUUUAGAGUUGCUUUUCUCAUUUAAUUUUUAUAUAGCAACCACAUAAGGUCAAAAACUUUUUUUUCCAUUUUCAUAUGAGAAAAUAGAGGUCAAAGAUGUUAAAUUAGUUUCUGUGGCCUUUGACUCAGGACACAGACAAUACUCUCAGGUUCAUCACACUGAGAUGAUUCUCUUUUCACUAGGACAGCGGUAGACAAAUCACCGUCUGGAGGCAGAAUCUGACCUUCUAUUUGUUUUUCUAUAGCCUAAGAGGUAAGAGCAGUUUUUGCACUUUUAAAUGGUUGGGGGGAAAAAAAUCAAAGUAUAAUAUUUGUAGCAUGAGAAAAUCGUGGGAAAUUCAGUUCUCAGUGUUCAUUAUCAAAAUUGUAUUGUGACACAGGCUGGCUUGUUUAUGUAUCAUCUGUGGCUGCUUUUGCUCUGCAAUGGCAGAGUUGACUAGAAGAAAUCAAGACUCUAUGGCACAGAAAUCCAAAAGUGGUUGCUAUCUGGUUGCUAUCCUGUGGGUAUUCCCUAGGGUUUAUGGGUUGAAAUUUAAUCUCUGCUGUAAGGUAUUAAAAAAAAAUAGAAAUUUAAUCUAAUAAUGGGGUUUGGAGGUGGGACUUUGAGAGACUGUUAGUGUUUUAUUCACUGCUGUGACUGGAAGAUCUAACCAGAACAAUCAUAGAGGAGGAAAAGUUUACUUAAGGCUUCAUAGUUUCAGAGGUCUUAGUCCAUAGAAGGCUGGCUCCAUUCCUCAGGGUUGGAGGUGAAGCAGAAUAUUAUGGCAGAAGAGUGUGGCCUGAUCAUCACAUGAUUGGGUUAAGGCUCUCAAAACCCAAAUAUUUCUUUUCUGAAUUUUCUUGUAUUGUCUUACACAUAACCCUUUGUGGGACACCUCACAUCCAAACCAUAACAGUUGGGAUUAGAUAAGGUCAUCAGCAUAGAACCUCUAUGAUUGAGUACUGUUGGCUUUGGAAAAAGAUUAGAGGAGACACAUACAUAUACACACCCACAUUCUCUGUCUCUUGCUAGGUGCUACCCUGUGUCUCCUGGAGAUACUGUGAACAAGGUCAUCACCAGAUGCAGUCCCUCAGAUUUGGACCUCCAGAACUGUGAGCCAAAAUAAACCUUUUUGAAAUCAGUUAGCCUACCUCAGGUAUUUCAUCAUCAUUACAGAGAAUGUGCUAAUACAUUGGUCCUUUUUGAAAAUGUUUGCUGUUCCCUGAUGUUUCCAUUCGGUAUGCUUCUUCUGGACCCUUAAUCUAAUUUUCUGGACUCUUAAUCUAAUCGCAGCCUGGAGUGAAAAGAAGAAAGGGAGAUAAUGGCACUCCCAACCACUCUCAGUUAUAAUAGUCCACUAAUAAAGUCCCAACCAUCUGGAUAGGAAAACUUUACAUAUGUCAAAAAAAUGACAGAAUAUGAAACAUGGGUAACAAAUGAACUCAGCUAAACUAAUUAUGACUCAAUUCAUCAGUGAGGCACUGAAAACAUGGUAGAUUUUUUUCAAGAUGCAAAUAAAACCUAUAAAACUCAUGAUUACUGAAAAAAUAAAAUCUCAUUUCAAUGAAGUUGUAGGGAUUAACAGAUUGCUUGAGUGUCCCCACACUGAAAAUACAAAGCACUGUCAGAAAUCAAAAAUAUUUGUUGAAGAGUAAAUGAAAGAAUGUAUGAAGGCAGAAAGAUGGGAGGGGGGCAGGGCAUGCUAAACCAACACAGAAAUCAAAAGGGAAAAGAAUUUAGGAGGUGAAACUCUACUCCUAGGACCUUCCUUUUCUGGGGGAUGGUGGAAUGCUGGUAAACUGCGAAUUAGCUGGAAGGGCAUGUUGGUGUGAAUAGGAAGACGUAAUAACAAGCCCCAAUAUUCCAAGAACAUUAAUAUUUCAGAGUUUCUGAAGUUUGCCUCCCAGGCAAUAGUCUACUUCUGUGUGCUGCUUCUAAUUUUCCACUUUUUCUCUUCUUUAUCUUCCUUCAGUGAAGCAAUUUGUUCACCAUUUUCUGCAAGUGAAAUGACAGAAUGCAAUACAUAGGCACACUUGAAAAACAUUCCUCCCUAGUUUUAGGAUUUAGAUAGUUAGGAUCCUGGGUUAGCAUUCUCCUCCUGCAAAGUAGAAUCAUGGUAAGGGUUGGGCACAUCAUAUUUACUGAAAAAAAUACAUUGUGAAUAUUAAUUGAUAUUGUUACUAUUUUAUUAUUGUCCUUAGCAAAUCUGUUGCCUACUUUAAUAACUGAUAUUUACUAAUAGAUUUAUUUAUUGUUCAACUAUUUUCCUAGAGAAACUUUAAAUACUUUGACAGAAUCUAUGUUUUGAAAAAAAAUAGCUUAGGCUUAUUUGCAGAGACCUCACCAUGUACUUUAAGAUAGGUGGCCCAGAUGCCUGUGUGAGGCAGAAUAGACUGGAACCUUUACCACCUCUAUGUUUUACAAGGUUUUCCUCAAAUGUAUCUUCUUUCCCCCUUUCUAAUCUAUUGUCUUCCUUUCCCUAAAUCCUCUCCUCUUUCUGUUUAUCUCCUUAGUGAAGGGAUGUUGUAAUUCAUCUUUCCAUUCUACAUGUAGUUGCUCAAUAAACAUUUGAUAUAAUGAACGCUUUUGCUCAUCUCUUUUUGGUUCUUCUCUUUCCUCAACUUUUCCCUUUGUAUUAAGAGGGAAUACCUACAUCUUCUAAGCCACAGCCCUAAACCCUUACUAUGAUUCUACUUUGCAGGAGAAGAAUGCUAACCCAGGAUCCUAGCUAUCUACUCUAACCUUUUCGUCACACCAAACUUCUCCCUACUAGAAUCAAACUUUCCUAUCUUCUAGCCACAAUCCAACAUUUCCCAGUGUAAGCUCUACAGAACAGUAAUGAGAUAUUAAUUUAUUUAAAGUAAAAAAAAAUUCAUGGUUAAGUUAGUUUGAGAAAUACCUACUAAAACUCUUGAAUAGAUUCUUAGAGUGAAAUUUUUCAAAGCUUUUAAUAUGCCAAUGAGCAGUGAAAAUCUUCAAAAGCAAGCAUAAAAUUCAAUACUUUUUAGAUAUUUUAUCAAAGAAUUUCUCUCCCUCCUCUCCCGACAUCAAAUACACUUUGCAAAACAGCUCUUGCCCACUUAGGAAAAUCUUUGUCAGACAGUGCUCCUCACUUACGACACAGGCAUCUGUUGGACCACGUUCAUCCCCUGUUGGGAGAGGGACUGUUAUUGAUAUUUGAGAAGGGAACUGAUCUGUAUUGAUGAUUUCUUCUGCUGCAGACACUAUGCUACUUAAGGACUUUGAUAAUAUUGAUAAGAAGAAUUAAAGCAAUAAAAACAUCCGCUGAGGGGCUAGGGAUGUGGCUCAAGCGGUAGCAUGCUCGCCUGGCAUGCGCAGGGCACUGGGUUCGAUCCUCAGCACCACAUAAAAAUAAAAAAAUAAAGAUGUUGUGACCACUGGAAAAAAAAAAUCCACUGAUACGUUUUAUCUCAUUUAAUAUAGUCUCCCAUUAAAACCACGAGGCUGGUGCAGUUCUCUUCAUUUUAUAGAUGGCAAAAUUGUGGCUCAGUUGGUUGACCUGGCCUCAGCCAACUAGCUAAUGAGUACCAGACCCAGAAUUACAGGCCAUGUCUGAAACUGAUGCCAGACCUGUUCCUUUCCACUGGCUACCUGGGUAAUUGUGGAGCCAUCAGCCAAACUGUCUCAUAAGUAAUCAUAGAAAUGGGCACAAACCCACUGAGAAAAAAAGACUUAGACAAAUUGUAAAAAGGGAGUUAGUAGAACUGUAUAAGACCACUGUGGUUGUAGAGUUAACAUACUGCACCAUUGGAAGGGGAGCAAGGUGAUUGGCACUUCCUAAAAUAGGGCAUGGUUCCAUGUUAGCAGCUGUCUGUGCCAAUGAUGGAACAGAUAGAAAUUAGAAAAGGUAGUCAAGUAUCACUGUCUUUUGAGUUUUCAGAUGCAAAUAUCAAUUUUGAGCAAGAACUCAAGUCAAAAUGAUAAUCAGCUUUAGAAAAAUAUUUGCACAUGAAAACUCACUAGACAAAAUAUUAGGAACUAGUGUAGCAUGGGCAAGGGAGAGCUGAUCCUUCCAGAUAUGGGACAUCACUUUGUCAAAUUCAUAAUGAUGAUUUUCCUCAGAUCAGUGGAUUCCCUCUCUUCCUUUGUUUUUCCCCUUUAUUUUUUGUAUCAUCUUUGUCUUUUCUAAAUAUUUCUGUUGAGCUGCUGUGCUCCCCCACAGUUGGCUGAGCCAGACCUGACCAGAGAAGGAGAGGUUAUCAGUAGCCUCAAUGCAGCAGCUGUUACAGUCUGAAAGUCAUCCUUUGACCUUUCGCCCAGAGUGCAAUGUGCUGGAGAUGUAGCUCUGAAUCACAGCCCUUCCCUUCUGCCACACUGGCCCAGGCACAAAAGGGGAUUCCCUGCCCAACACAUGAACUCCUUUCUGCAACUGGCAUUCUGCUCUAAAAACCAGAUUCCUUGUGAGAACUUAUCCCUAGGGAGCCCUUGCCUAACUUCUGCCUGGAACUGGAAUAUGAUAUGCAUACCUUUCAUUAUUGGCCAAGAUUUCCAUUGUGCAUAGUGAAAAGCAUAGAAGCUUUGGUAUCAGACACUCCCAGACACAAAUUCCAGCCUUAUCAAUUACUAACUGUAAAACCUCAGGCAAUCUAUGAAAAGGGAACAGUAAGGACUUCUUCACAUGAGAUCAUCUACAAAGGGCUUUGAUUAGUUCUCUCUUCCCUCUCUGAGAAGAAUUUGGGGUAGAUAUUGGUUAGGAUUUUUUUCAGUUGCUGGGAAUGGUUACUCAACUGAAAGUUAUUGAAACAGUGAGGAUAUUUACGGGUUUAUAUAAAAUAAAGUCCAGAGGCAGGAAAGCAUCAAGUCCUGUUUAUCCUAUCUAAUUAUGUCAUAAACAAGCAAGGUUUCUUCUGUCUCUCUGCAUAACCAUCCACAAAGAAGAGCUCAUCCUCAAGAAAAUUCUCUACUUGGUAGUAUGGUGGCUUUGAGGAACAAUUGGUGUUAUAUGCUUCUCUAUUUACUUUUAGAGGCAAGGAGAGUAUUUCUUCCUAAUCUUUGGAACUGAAGUUCUUCUUGUUCAUUGCUUGAACCAAUUUAAGUCAUAUGUUCUUACAUGGAUAACUUUUAUGGAGAGAUGCUAGGUGCUAAUUGGCCUAAGUUCCUGAACUACCAUGAGUCAAUGAACUACUAUAAUUGACUAAGAACCAUAAGGGCCAUUUCUAAUUCUAUCGAAAGUACCCAGUGAGGAAGGGGUGGGGUGAAUGUUGAAGAUAAGACUCUAUAGGGUGAAAAAGCCUGAACACUUGUUCACAUUCCUACUCUACAAGUACCAGUGGAGUUAUCUUUUCUGAACUUCAUUUUAUCCAUAUGAAAAUGACGUACAAAAAUAGUACCUGUCUCAUUGGCUAGUUUUGAGGAUUCAGGGAAAUAAAAUCUGUGAAACCCUUAGCAUGGAGCCUAGAAAAUGUCUACAAAUUCUAAUUUUUACUAUUUCACUAUGUGCUUCGAAAUGUGGUACCACUUCCCGCAAGAUUUGGCUGUCAUCUAAUUCCUGGAUUCCUAUCAUGGACCCCUUUGCACCAGAGUGGCUAAAUCACUAUUUAUUUCAUACCUUCUCUACCUUGUACCUGUGAUUGUUCAGCUGCUCAUAAAGGGUAGCCUGGAUUUGUUCUUUCUCUACCUGCAACACUAUCCUAUCAAAUCUCAACUAUUGAAAUAUCAACUUGUUUAGUGCCUGAGUACUAUGAUUGAUGUGGUGUGUCAGCUUGGCUAAAUUAAGGGACACCCAGAUAGCUGAUAAUGCAUUAAUUAUUCUCAGAGUUUCAGUAAGGCAUGAGUCCCUACUGAAAAUAUGCUAACCAAUAUCCAACCAGAUGGGAUAAGCCCAUCCCUUUUCAGCUGCAAGAGGUACCCAAGUGUUUUGACAUUUGAUUAGAAUGAUUGAGCUUCCUCAGGUGUGUUUGUGAUGUGUUUCUAGAGGAGAUUGGCAUGUGAGUCAGUGGACUGAGUGGGGAAGGUCUGUGCUCAGUAUAAGCAGGGAACAUCUAAUCAGCUGGUGGCCCGGCUGGAUCAAAAGGUGGAAAAAGGAUGAUUUCUUACUGUCUCUUCCAGAGUCAGGGUGUCCUACUCUUCCUGACUCUGAAUAUUGGAACUCCAUAUUUUCUGGCCUUUGAACUCUGGGACUUGUAUCCAUGGAACCCCUGAAUUCUUAGGCCUUCAGAUUGAAAGUUAUGCCCCUGGCUUUCUUCUCUACCUUGCAGAAGCAUUGACUGAGCAAGCACUGAGCCAUGCUACCAGCUCCCUGGUUCUGUAGCUUCCUGGCAGCCUAAGGUAGCACUUCUCAGCCUUCACAAUGAACUGAGUUAAUUCCCUCCUCAUGUAUCCCUAUAGAUCCGGUGAGUUCUCUCUCUCUCUGGAGAACCCUGCUGGAAACAAAGAGCAAACUAUCUUGAUAAUUUUCCUGGUAACCAAGAAAUGAUGAAUAACAAGUAUUAGCCACUGUCUGUUUAUGCCAACAGUGAAUUUUAAAAUGUCUUCUAUGGUGUUAACUGCUAAGAUGCCUACUACAAGAAUUGAAUAUUUGUAUUCGAGCUCCACAUUGGAACUAGGUCUGCUUUAUUACUAUGCCAACCAAUAUCAUUACUGCAUUGCUUACAGUCUCAUUUUGUCUUACAGAUAGAUACUAUUCAAUAUUAUACAUCCUUAGAUGUUUUAAAAUUUCUAUGGGUUUUACCGCUUUCUAAAUAGGGGCUUUCCUUUUCUGCUAUAUCUUUGUUAUCCAGAAAUACUAAACAUAUUCUUUUUUACUUUUUCUAUUUGCUUUCUUUGAUGGCAUUCAAAUUUUUUAAAAUUUAUCCAUUUACAUCCUGAAAGGUGUAAUGAAUUCCAUGGGUUUAUUAAGUUCCCAUACUUUGCUUUCUGAUCCUUUCUUUCUCUUCCUCGCCCCUCACCAUAAAAGCCUGGAAGUGACACACAACUGCAGCCCUUUGAAAAAGUGGACUGUGCUGUGGUGGCAAUAGCGAAGGACAAUCGCUCUUGGUUAUUCAAACCUUUCCAAGAGGAAGUUGAAGGCCAGUCUGUCAUAGAAGCCCAGGAAGACCCAAAGGCUACAGUGGCAGUUUCAAACUGGCAUAUGGUUAGUAGUAAAGGUUGAAAACAGAUGGUGACUGGAGUUCGAAGCAAAUAUUUUCAUUUUCCAAACAGCAGACACAGCGCCAGGCCCCUAAUGGCAGCGUAUCACAUUUCAGUGAGAGAAACCUGAGCUCCAUGGUAGGCUUUGGCUUCACCCUCAGAGAGGAGCAACAUGUUCCACAAAGGCAGCAUUUGGGAGGAAGGCCCCCUCUUCCCCAGGCCAUGAGCACAGAUGUGCUCUGCUGGCUGCGACCCUGCUGGCUGGGACACAGGUCUGAGAGGAAAACAACAUCCAAAAGCUAGGCCCUGCCUUUGGCCACAGAUUAUAGCCAUAAGUGAUACCAGACGAAUAUUAAAAAGAAAAUGCCUCAUCCACAGAAAUGUGCUUUAAGGAUGACUCAUCUUACUUGUGUAUAUAUGAAAGAAAAAGGUUGAGAUCUGGGCGACAGCUAUUGUUGAAUUAGGGGACCACCUCAGCACUGAUCUUAGUGUAUUGGUCUUAAUUCUUGCAACUCACUCACAACUGUGAGUAGCUACCCCCAGGAGGCAGAGGGGGCCGGGAGCCCAGCGCUGGUUGAGGAGAAUCCCGGCUGUGUGCUUGGAUAAAGAGGGACUUGACUGCAGUUAGGGCAGUUGGACCUGUGCAAUUGGAUGUGCACAGGUGUGGGACACACUUCUCAAAAGGGAGCAGGGUAGAGAAUAGAGCACGCUCGGGAGGAAUCCCUGUGGCCCUUUCCCUUGGCUUUCUUUAAGGCUGUGCUGCUGGGAUGCUUCUUUCUCCAUGCUGAUUGGAAUCUAUCAACAUUCUUGGUCCUUGGCAUUUCUCCCCCCAGGGUCUUUGCCUAAAGGAUUUUGCAGCUUAUUUUUCUCCUUCCUGAUUGCACAUGGUAGCCCCUCUUCAGCACACGUGUGCACCAGGGCUCAGCUUCCGUGACUCCUGCCCUCCAGCCACUGCUGAAGAGAUGAACCUCUGGGAGGGAGCAAAAGGAUUAAAGGGACAAGCCUCUGAAGUUUGUAUGAAUUGGAGCACUUGGGGA